MicroRNA precursor from Dasypus novemcinctus (nine-banded armadillo), 96 nucleotides. The record is from Ensembl. Lineage: Eukaryota; Metazoa; Chordata; Mammalia; Cingulata; Dasypodidae.
AUAUACACUAUAUUAUGUAUAAAUGUAUACACAUGUCCUAUAUAUAUAUCCACAUAUAUAUAGUGUAUAUAUUAUACAUGUAUACGUGUGUAUAUG